AUUGAACGCUGGCGGAAUGCUUUACACAUGCAAGUCGGGCGGCAGCGCGGGGGCAACCCUGGCGGCGAGCGGCGAACGGGUGAGUAACACAUCGGAACGUACCCUGUCGUGGGGGAUAACGAAUCGAAAGAUUCGCUAAUACCGCAUACGACCUGAGGGUGAAAGCGGGGGAUCGCAAGACCUCGCGCGAGAGGAGCGGCCGAUGGCGGAUUAGCUAGUUGGUGGGGUAAAGGCCCACCAAGGCGACGAUCCGUAGCGGGUCUGAGAGGACGGCCCGCCACACUGGGACUGAGACACGGCCCAGACUCCUACGGGAGGCAGCAGUGGGGAAUUUUGGACAAUGGGGGNAACCCCUGAUCCAGCCAUUCCGCGUGAGUGAAGAAGGCCCUUCGGUUGUAAAGCUCUUCCUAGCAGGAACGAAACGGUAGGUCCCGUAAUACGGACUACUAAUAGACGGUACCUGAAGAAGAAGCACCGGCUAACUACGUGCCAGCAGCCG
This 499-nucleotide ribosomal RNA is filed under the name uncultured bacterium. Its description in RNAcentral is "bacterial SSU rRNA". It matches the Rfam family "Bacterial small subunit ribosomal RNA", at positions 29 to 517 of the family's 1533-position model. The record is from RNAcentral.